RNA transcript from Varanus komodoensis (Komodo dragon), 4378 nucleotides. It is a transcript of the gene named tubulin folding cofactor D, with no coding region annotated. The record is from RefSeq and is a predicted model, not a curated record. The transcript is spliced from 42 exons. Lineage: Eukaryota; Metazoa; Chordata; Lepidosauria; Squamata; Varanidae.
CCUCUCCCUCCAUCCUCUCGGUGACCUCCCACUCCUAUUCGUUCUCCCUCCCAGCCGACCCCACCGCGUCCCAGCCCCUUCGGCCCUCCGCCCCCUUCAGAGUCAGAGCUCUGACGCAGCGAGGCUUUUUGUCCCACGCGACGAGCCGUACGGAGGAGGCCCGGCUCUGAGCAGGCGCCAACGACAAGCGCUGUUUCUGAGCGACAGCCAGACCUGGAACUCGUCUGAGGUUGAAGAGGGGACUUUCAGGGCAAGGGGUGCGACUUCUCCUUGGGUUGAACAUAGAAGAAUUUAUUUGAGUGGAAGAUGGUUCUAAAUGAAAUGAAUGAUGACGGGUCUGAGCAAGAUGGCAACAAAUGCAUGGAGCCUGAUGUCAUUGCCAAGGAAAACAUACUAGAGAGUUUUACAGAAAAGCAAGAGACACAGGAGUUGAUUAAUAAUCUCAGAUUAGUGCAUGAAGAACUGCCAUUGCGAGAAACAGCUCUUCAAAAAUUUAAAGUUAUAAUGGACAAUUACCAGGAACAGCCUCACCUUUUGGAUUUCCAUUUAGAAUGGAUGUUGAAUUCACUGCUAGAUAUUAUCCGGGAUGAAACUUCUCCUCCUUCUUUAAUUCAUAUGACCUUUCAAUUUCUCUACAUCAUUUCAAAGGUACGGGGAUAUAAAACUUUCCUGCGAUUAUUUCCUCAUGAAGUAGUUGAUGUACAACCUGUUUUACUUAUGCUUGAACGUCAGAAUCCAAAAAACUAUGAGACAUGGGAGACUCGUUACAUGCUGUUAUUGUGGCUGUCUGUAACAUGCCUGAUCCCAUUUGAUUUGGCACGUCUGGAUGGAAAUAUAUCUUCCCUAGAAGGAUGCCCUCGAGUAUCAACAAUGGAUCGCAUCCUCACGGUAGCAAAAUCUUACCUUCUGGUAAGUGACAAAUCUCGAGAUGCAGCUGCAGUCCUGGUCUCAAAGUUUAUUACCCGCCCUGAUGUCAAACAAAAACGAAUGGCUGACUUCCUGGACUGGACGCUUUCAACCUUAUCUAAAUCCUCCUUUCAGUCUAUUGAGGGUACUAUUGCAAUGGAUGGCAUGCUUCAAGCUUUGGCAAAACUUUUUAAACAUGGCAAAAGAGAGGACGUUUUACCCUAUGCUUCUACUGUACUUGAAUGCCUUGACAACUGCAAGCUGUCUGAAACCAACCAAACGCUUCUUCGCAAGUUGGGAGUGAAACUCGUUCAGCGACUUGGCCUGGCAUUUCUUAAGCCAAAGGUGGCAAAAUGGAGGUAUCAGCGAGGUUUCCGAUCUUUAGCUGCAAAUCUGCAGCUUUCUGCUGAUGAUUCUGCUGCACAGAAAGCAGAAAAUGCAACUGUUGUUGCAGAAGAGGAGGAAGAGGAAUAUGACAUUCCAGGAGAGGUUGAAAAUGUUGUAGAGCAAUUGCUGAUUGGAUUGAAAGACAAGGACACCAUUGUCAGAUGGUCUGCUGCAAAGGGGAUUGGUAGACUGACAGGAAGACUACCAAAAGAGCUAGCUGAUGAUGUGGUCGGGUCUGUUUUAGACUGUUUCAGUUUCCAGGAAACUGAUAAUGCUUGGCAUGGUGGAUGUUUGGCCCUAGCUGAAUUAGGAAGAAGAGGGUUGUUACUUCCCUCCCGACUCUCAGAUGUUGUUCCUGUAAUUUUAAAAGGACUGACCUAUGAUGAGAAACGCGGAGCCUGCAGUGUUGGCUCUAAUGUACGGGAUUCUGCUUGCUAUGUAUGUUGGGCUUUUGCUCGUGCUUAUGACCCCUUAGAACUGAGGCCAUUUGUUAAUGAAAUUGCAAGUGCCCUGGUUAUAGCUGCUGUAUUUGACCGUGAUAUCAAUUGCCGAAGAGCUGCCUCGGCUGCCUUCCAGGAGAAUGUUGGUAGACAGGGUACUUUCCCACAUGGAAUCGAUAUUUUGACUGCAGCUGAUUAUUUUGCUGUUGGCAACAGAGCAAAUUGUUUUCUCAAUAUAAGUGUAUAUAUUGCUGGGUUUCCUGAGUAUACGCAGCCAAUCAUUGAUCACCUUGUUAGCAUGAAGAUCAACCACUGGGAUAGUGCAAUUCGGGAAUUUACAGCCAAAGCCCUUCAUAAUCUCACAGCACAAGCUCCUGAAUAUAUGAGAAAUAAGGUUUUACCAAAACUGCUGCCCCUGGCAGUUGGCACAGAUCUUCACACUCGCCAUGGAGCAAUUCUGGCCUGUGCUGAGAUCACCCAUGCUUUGUGUAAACUAGCCGAAGAGAAUAACAGAUCCAUUACAUCAUAUUUGGAUGAAAACAUCUUGAACGGACUGAAACAGAUUCAUGUGGAGCUUUGCCAUCGUCAGUUGUAUAGAGGAUUAGGUGGAGAACUAAUGAGACCAGCUGUCUGCACUUUGAUUGAAAAGUUAUCACUUUCAAAAAUGCCAUUUAGAGAAGAUUCCGUAAUUGAUGGCUGGCAGUGGCUGAUAAAUGACAGUUUACGAAGUCUCCAUCUUGUUUCAAGCAAUGCAAGACAAGAAAUAAAAGAGUCGGCAGUCUCUGCAUUGGCUGCUCUGUGUAAUGAAUAUUACUGCACAGAAGAAGGAGGUGCAAAUCCAGCUCAGCAAGAUGAGCUGGUGAAACAAUACAUUUCAGGCCUUCAAAGCCAUGAGGAAAUGACUCGAUGUGGCUUUUCACUAGCCUUGGGCGCCCUUCCUAAAUGUCUUUUAAAAGGCAAGCUCCAGGAGGUUUUAGAAGGUCUGAAGAGAGUCACUUUGAUUUCUCCUGAAGGCAUGGGCUUUGCUGAAUCCAGAAGAGAUGCCCUAAAAGCCAUUGCAAAAGUUUGUUUGACAGUAGGAGUGAAAGAAGAAGGACCACCUACUGAAUUUGUGUGCAGAGAUAAUGUUGCCCAGAUAUAUAGUGUAUUGCUGGAUGGCCUGAAUGAUUAUACAACAGAUAGUCGGGGUGAUGUUGGGGCAUGGGUGAGAGAAGCUGCAAUGACGAGCUUAAUGGAAUUGACUCUGUUACUAACACGGACUGAGCCUGAGUUAAUCGAUGCAAAUGUCUCUCAGAGGAUCAUGUGCUGUGUCGCUCAACAAUCAGCUGAAAAAAUCGACCGAUUUCGAGCCCAUGCAGGAUCUGUGUUCCUUACGCUUCUAUAUUUUGACAACCCUCCUGUCCCGCACAUACCCCACCGAGAAGACUUAGAGAGGAUAUUUCCAAGGUCGGAGGCCGUAACUUUCAACUGGAAUGCACCCUCACAAGCCUUUCCCAGAAUCACACAGCUUUUGGGUUUAGCAUCAUAUUGCUAUCAUGUUCUAACAGGUCUGACUGUGUCUGUUGGUGGAUUGACAGAAUCAACAGUGCGAUACUCAUCACAGAGCCUGUUUGACUAUUUGAAGACUGUUCAGAAUGACAUGGAUGCAAUGAGCAGCUUUAGUGAGACACUGCUGCAGGUCUUUGAGGACAACUUGUUGAACGACAGGGUAUCUGUACCACUACUAAAGAUGCUGGACCAGCUACUAGCAAAUGGAUGCUUUGAUAUCUUUACAACUGAAGAGAACCACCCAUUUCCUUUGAAGUUACUCACACUGUGUAAAGAAGAAAGCAAGAGAUCUAAAGAUGUUCAGAAACUCCGCUCCAGCAUUGCAGUGUUUUGUGGCCUGAUUCAAUUUCCAGGUGACAUGAGAAAGAAAGUUCUAUUUCAGCUCUUCCUCCUCCUUUGCCAUCCAUUUCCUGUUGUAAGGAAGACAACAGCCAGUCAAGUGUAUGAGAUGCUGAUAACUUAUAGUGAUAUUGCUGAACCAGAUGUUAUAGAGGAGGCCAUGACACUCCUGAGUGAUACUAAUUGAGGGACACUCAGAUAACAUGAUGCUGAAGUCUAUCCCUAGUAUUCAUGGCAAGAGCACCGCUGUCCUUGAGGACCUGCAGUGAAGUUAGAGCAGACACUCCUUCCCCUUGAAGAACUGUGGCUCCAUCAGCCAUGGGGAUGCAGACUUGCCAUUUCUAAGGAAACAACGUAACUAUCUCUGUGACUUAAUGAAAGUGCCGAAACCACAACUUGUUACCAAGAACACAUAACUGGAAACACAUUAACACUAGAAAGAAAAAUUCUUGGGACCUGGAAAGAAGCAGCAGCUUUUGGCUCCACUACCUGAGCAACUACAGUGUAUGAACAAGUUAAAAAGGAAAUCUAACAGAGUACAUAACUGCUUGAAAGCUCAGUAUGUAUUAGGAGUUCUGUUUCAGUCAAACUUUGUUUUUGUUAAGUUUACUAGUGCUCCCUCCUUACUCUGUAACCACAAGGUGGCAGUUUGGCCACAUGAUUUUCUCUUGUCUUUCAAAUUUAGUAUGAAUGCCGAUGUUUUGUGUUUCUUUCUCAAAAUUAAAUUAAAGUAUCUACUGCCAAGAUCAAACUAUCAA